This is a long non-coding RNA of Esox lucius (northern pike), 3436 nucleotides long. The record is from Ensembl. Lineage: Eukaryota; Metazoa; Chordata; Actinopteri; Esociformes; Esocidae.
GGGGGACAGCCUUUAACCAUAGCAUUGGUGUCUAUACUUUUGGCCCAUAGCAGGCCAAACAUGCCCAAUCAGCGACAUGUCUGGAGAAGAAUACCAAACCAGCAGUGCACAUGCUCGUCAGGGAGCAGGAGAUGGCUGGACAACAAGCACAAGAGAUGGACAUCAAAAAGGAAGGACCGGAUCAAAUCGGGAAUGCACCCAGGGAUGAGGGCAGCGAGAGCCCCAGUCCGAAUAACCGGCUGUCAUUACAGAAGGCCAAUGGGGAGCAGCCGUUGGACAGUCUGUCCCAGCCCCCCCUUCUCAAGAAAGCUGUGUCGGGGUCCUCUGUGGACUCUGAGUAUGUAGAGAAAAGGGCAGAUGACAGCUUCAAAUUAAAUAAUAUGACCAAUACGUUUACUGGGCCACUGGUGCUGGAAAGCCAAAGCCAUUGGGACAGCCAGGCAGAGGAUGGGCGUGACCGGUCUCCUGACAGGAACAACGACACAGAUAGCAUCAGCGCAUACGAAGACGCCUGUGCCGAAACACCCGAGCUGGAUGAGGGCGAUGGGCCAAGGCUGCCCCAUGAUGAAGGCUCCCCAGUGGAUGACAUUGAGGGGGAACUUAUCUUAAAUGGCAGUGAGCCCAAAAACCCCAAUGAUUCUUGCGUUCUGUCGUAAGAGUUACAGAAGUGUCAUGGCACGAAGGGUGACAUCUGCUCUGAGAUCACUGCUCUUACUUUCUUUCCCUUGAUAAUAUAAUGCCAUUCAGCAGAUGCCAUUUAAAGUAAUGGGUGCAUAUAUAUUUUUUACGUUUUAGAAAGUAGUUAAAUACAAUAUUUUCCUGGACCAGGGCUCUCAUACAGUACAAUCCAUCUACACCUAUGUAAGUGUAGAGUAAACACAGAGUUAUCUGAAUACAAUCAGGUAGGGUGGCAUUUCAAUAAUGUUUACAGAUGCCUAUAAAAUCAAUCUCUCUCCCUCGGCAUGUUUGGGAUGACGUGCAAGUCAUAGUUUUCCCGCUGUUUGGUUUUCCACCUCCCUUGGUUACUUAGUGGCUGAUAAUUCAUAACUCUAGGGUUUGCACACACUGAACAAUUGUGUGUUUUAGGAAAGACAGAAGACCUCUAGCAUUCUAAACGGGUGUAUUAUGUAAUUUGUAGAUAACAACAUAUUUUAGUGUUUUCAGUCGGUUAAGGCCCUAUUCAAAGAUGUUUGUUCCACAUCAAAACUAGGAUUCCAACAUCCAUCAUCGCAGAUUGUUCUGAAAUUGGUUCUGUUAUUAAACAUAUUAGUAAAAAAUCAAAUUUCAUCCCUGAAAAACAGUUACAUUCAAAUUGACCAUUUGUCUUACUGAAAUGGAAUGACUGCUGAUCUAGGACCAGGACCUCAUCUGUCCAUGUAAUCUUAUAAAUCAUGUUUAGAAAGGCCAAAUAUUCUCAGCAAUAGAACCAUGCUUACAUAUAAGUAGUUGUCACAAAGUGCUUAAACAGAUAUCCAGCCUAAGAUCAGAACAAGCAAAGCAGAUUUUGAAGCAUAGUGCAGAUUUUGAAUAAUUUAGGCCUAGAUUAACAACUAGGUAGACUGUGGAAAGGGACAGCAAGGAGUUGUCAGGCCAGGAAUGGUCCAGGACUCUCCUUGGUUGAGUGAGUUUGGGCCAUGAACAGAACACUAACUAACCUGAGACAAGGCUGAGUAUAGCCCACAAAGUACUCCCAGAACACAAUGCCAUUUAGUAUAAUGAAAUUACCCUGGCAUGUUGUGAUGCACCCUCUUAGGGACAGCAUGUGAAAGUGCAAUUAAGCCAGUGACUCAGACUUGUUUAUAAGUGGAGAGAGAGGCUGGUCAUGCAGGGUCGUCCGUUUAAUGAUUUGCAAGUUAUACUUAAAUCAGCCCUAGCCUAACAGGCAGUCAAUGUUCAGAGGCUAGUACUGCAGUGAUAGGAUUUAUUUUUGGGGGGAGUUCUGGUCAAGAGUUCUGGUUAUUUAAUCAGCCUUGUUGAAGCUCUAGUUGAAGAUUUAUUUAGUUGAUAAUUAGCCUGAAAAAAGAUUACUCAAUCUUUUAUCGUUUUCCAAUCUAAAGAUUUGCCUUUUUGCAGAUGUUACUAAGCUAAACUAAAAAAAGCUGUUAUUGAAGUAUUGGUUUGCAUGUUUGUCAAAAUAGAGACCAGUUCAGAGUAACGGUUUGGUACUUCAGGUUUGUUUGAGAUUAUUUUAAAACCAUCAACAUUCAGUGUCAGUCCUUGGAACUAAGAACUAGUUUCUCUGUUUUAUUCUUGUUUAAAACUAGAUUCUACCAUUUACAUUUAUAUCUAAAGCACAGGCUUCCAAUUUAGUUAGUUGUCUGCCUGGUUAUGUUUCAUUGAAAUGGACAGCCUUGUAUGGUCUGUACAGCAGUGAAGAUUGAGUGUUUCUGAAUGACGCCAAAAUAUACGAUGUAGCAAAAGUUGCCCUGAAACAGAACUUUGACAUUUACCUUUUUAUUUGAAGGACAGACCAACCACCAGGGUAACUGAUAUAUUUCAAAAACAUACAAUCUGAACUGGGCUAAAUGUUAUCCAUGUAAACAUUUACCCAGUCUCUACAAAUGAAUGUUGUGAUCGAUUUUUGUUGAAGGUGGCAGGUCAAGAAAGAGGACCAGUUAUUAAGAAUCAUGAUUUAACACUACUGAAAUGUAAUUAACCACCUUUAGGAUUGCAAUCAGACUGUUUUACAUAUAUUGUUUGUGUUUAGGAAUGCAUGAGUUGCCAGGGGUGAGUUAUAACAUGUUACAUGUAAUGUGAUAUAGGUAAUUAAGUAAUUUUCAGGAAUAAGUAAGUUUAUUCCUGGGGUUUAUUGUCUAACUGUGGACAUGUAUUUCUAAAUGUGAGUACAUUUCAGUUCAUGUAACAGUGCUUUAGUACAGAUUUUCAGUACUCUAACCACCCCUGUGAGUUGCUGUGGAAUGGCUUUAUAAAAGCAAACUACUAGUAACUCAGAGGAAUGGAAGAUUCAAUAUACUGUUGUUCAUCAGUUUAUUUUUUAAAAGGUUCUGCGUAAAGGUUUGUCUUUUUUAGAUGAAGCUUUAUUACUGCCUCUGUCGGUGUAUUUGGUACACAUCCAGAGGAUAUGGUUGUACAUAGGAAGGCCAAGCACAGGAAGUCGCUCAUUUAGUUGGAAUAAGGUGCAGUAGAGAGCUGGAAGUUUUGGAGGCCUUAACAUUUUCUCAAUGUUGAGGGAUACGAGAAAAAACAAUACUUGAGUGUCUCUAUUGUUACAAGGUCCUAGCAGUUCACUGCGGACUCAGGACAAACACAUUUUAGAAAAAAUCUCUAUUUAGGGAGAAGUCUUAGUUAUGUUUAUAAUGAUCAUUCUUUUUUAUUCAAAAAGGUUCAUGGCUUUGUCCCUGAUAAUGUAAUUGAUGUUUUAAAUUUGCAGCUGCAUCAAAACACUUUCAUAUAUUUUUAUUAUUUUCAGUCAAGC